UUACCUUGUUUGUCAGAAAGAUAUUACUCAAAAUGCUUGCUUCGUGUUAUCAAACAAGCUAUAGGGCCAGUGGUCAAACUUGAUACUCAUACGAAUAGUGGAAGGCGGGGAUGUUUUGCUGGGUUGACGGUAUGUUUGGAUUUAAAGAAACCAUUGGUGACGAAAGUCAAGAUUAAUGGUCGUAUACAACGGGUUGAGUAUAAAUCUUUGCCAGUUGUGUGUUUCAAUUGUGGGCUUUAUGGGCAUAAUUUUGUUCUGUGCUCGGGGAGCAAGAAUAAUGCAUCGGAUUGUGGUGUUCAUGGGGAAGAAUCGGUGGUUGAAAACAUAGGUACUCAAAGAUGUGUGGAAGAGGAGAAUCAUGGGCCAUGGGUGCUUGUGGUCGAAGGCAAAGCCGAAGGGUACAUCAUGUAGAAACAACAGGGGACGAUGACUCCGAAAAUUGGUUAGGAGGUUCACGAUUUUUAGUUCUUGCAGUGGAUCUAGGUGUUAAUGAUCCCGUACUCAUGACCAUGGAUGGAGGGAAUCAGCUUGGUCAAAUCAAAAUGCGUGAUUUAGGGAAGGAUUUUAAUGCAAAUUUUGGAGAAUCGGGACAAAAGGAAUCUAAUUUGGGGGAAGAAAGGGAUGAGUACGCUUAAUGGGAAAGGAAUCAUGCUUGUUGGUGGACCUAAAUCUGGUACAAAGGCAUUAAGGUCCAUUGAUUUCAAUAUUGGGUUGGCAACUAGGAAAUGAGGGAAUGUGUUCGAUGAUGGUUCUGAAAUAGGCCCAAUAGAUCCAAAUGCUAAGGAUAAGGGCUUUGAUUUUUCACCUGUGACUUUUAAGUCAAAUUUGGACAAAAAAAAAAAAACAUGGUGCAGUUCAGGUAGGGGAAAGAAAAUCACAUAUUUCACUUUGAGAAUCAAGUGUAGGGUUCCUAAAUCCGGAUGCGCAAGCAAGUGUAGAUGGUGUUAUCCAACAGAUCUCGAGUCGGAAGGUGAUGAAUUUGUAUCCGUAUUUUCUGGAGUUCUCUGGAGUGGCAGUGUUUUCUUCAACCUUUUGAAUUUGCAUUCGUAGAUGAUUCAUAUGAGGGUUGGUAACAGACAAGGACCCUUUAAAUUUUUAUGUUCCAUAGUGUAUGCUAGCCCUUAACCAGCUAAGCGAAGUACGUUAUGAGAUUUUUUUAUUUCUUUUGCUGAAUCCAUUAGGGAGUCGUGGACUAUAGCAGGAGACUUUAAUUCAAUAUUGGAGCCAUUGGAACAAGUGGGUGGGUAAGUGAGCAUGCGUUGUGGAUAUAGUAGCUGUCUGUCUUUUCUGUUUGAUAAUGGCGUCCGUGACUUGGGGUUCAGCGGGCCUCGAUUCACUUGGAGUAGAGGCAAUCUAUCACAGCACUUGGGUAGGGUAAUGUGUAACUUGAUUUGGGACUCGUUUGCGCUAAAUUGCUCAAUACGAAAUUUGCACCGCCUGAAGUUGGAUCAUAGGCCGAUUUUGGUUUCUCUCAAUCCAUUGCAAAAUAGAGGUAACAGACCAUUCCGUUACUUAGCUAAUUGGUUGCUCCAUGCUGAGUUUAAUGGCCUUGUAAGUAACAGUUGGAAGUAUGAUAUGGAUGUGAUUUCUAAUUUGGAGCUUUUCAAAAAAAAAAAAAAAAAGGUUCAAGAAUGGAAUAAACGUGUUUUUGGGAAUAUUUUUGUUCGAAAAAGGAGGCUGAUUUUCGGAACAUGAGCAUAUUUAAGGAAUUUUGGAGUUUAGGGAUUCAGAUAAACUUUGUGAUCGGGAAGUGAAAUUAUGACACGAGGUAGAUGAUAUCCUGAAGCCUGAUGAGUUGUUAUGGUUUCAAAAAUUUAGAACAUAAUGGCUUACGAAUGGAGAUAGAAACACAAAGUAUUUUUCAUAGCCGUACUAUGGCUAGGCGAAAGAAAAAUAAGGUGGAAGGACUUAAAAUUGGGAAUGAUGAUAGGUGUUUUGAUUCGAAGGUCCUACAACAUGUGGUGGAAUCUUUUUAAAGAGAUUUAUUUUGUAGAUUAUUCAAGCAAUGGAGCCUUGUCUAGUAGAGGUAGUUUUCUUGAGAUUUCUCCAUUAGAGAAGGAUAACCUAAUAAUGGGAAUCAGUGAUGAGGAGUUCGUAAGGCAGUUUUUGGAAUGGCACCAUUGAAAGCAUCAGGAGUGGACAAUUUUCAUGCAAAAUUCUUUCAGUCACAAUGGGAUACUCUUGGUGGUUCGGUUUGUUGUAUGGUGCGGCAAGUUUUAGAAGGGCAUCAGUUGAUUCCAUGGCUAAAUAGAACAUUAUUGGUUCUUCGGCCAAAAGUUUAAGGUCUGGAAAGAAUUUUGGAAUUUCAGCCAAUAAGUUACUGUACGGUGUUAUAUAAAGUUAUUAUGAAGGUGCUAGUUAAUAGAUUAAGGUUGUUGAUGCUGAAGAUUACUAAGCAGAAUCAAGCUAGCUUCGUUGCAGGUAGAAACAUAUCAGAUAACAUUGUAAUGGCACAGAAAACUAUUCAUUCUAUGAGGACUUUCAAAGGAAGAAAAAUGGGGAUGGCUUUAAAGAUUGACCUGGAAAAAGCAUACAAUAGGGUUAGAUGGGAAUUUUUUGGAAGAUACAUUGUUUGAAGCUGGACUACUGCCUUUGCUAGUCACAGUGAUUUUAAAUUGUGUUUCAUCGUCAUCUCUUUAGAUCCUCUAGAAUGGAGCGAUGACGAAUACUUUUUGACCAGCAUGUGGUAUUCGUUAAGGAGAUCUGCUCUCGCCUUAUCUAUUUGUGCUAUGCAUGGAGCAUUUGGGACAUUUUAUUGAGGAAGCAGUUGAACAGUGAAGUUGGAAGCCACUAUUUUUAUAUAGGAGAGUGAUGUAGGUUUUGUGCGUGUGGAUGACCUUGGUAUGUGUCUUGGCAUGCCUCUUUUUCACAAAAGAGUUGUGAGGAGUACGUUCGAGUUUCUGAUUGCUAAAUUCCGAAAUAAGCUUAAUGGAUGUGAAUCAAAGAAGCUGUCAAUGGCUGACAGAAUAACCUUGGUAAAAUAUGUGCUCUUAGCUAUUCCAAACUACUUAAUGAGUACGGUUCUUAUCCCUCUUUUUGUGUGUAGGGAAAUUGAAAAAUUAGCUUGUAACUUUAGAUGGGGGAACUUCUUCGGAAUCGAGAAAGCCAACUUUGGUGCCUUGGGGGAUUGUUGUUGAGUGAUUGAUGGUGGAGGGCUUGGGUUGGGAAACCUUGUGGACCAAAACAAUUUUUUUUCUUUUUUUGUUAAAAAUGGGAUUCCAGCUUCUCACUAAUACAGAGGCUUUGUAGGUUCCAAUUUUGAUAAAUGAAUAAAAUAUUUAAAGAGUGAUGUCGAUGUC
This is a long non-coding RNA of Gossypium raimondii (Peruvian cotton), 3299 nucleotides long. RefSeq lists it as uncharacterized. Lineage: Eukaryota; Viridiplantae; Streptophyta; Magnoliopsida; Malvales; Malvaceae. The transcript has 2 exons. The record is from RefSeq and is a predicted model, not a curated record.